AGUCGAGCGGAACGAUGGUAGCUUGCUACCAGGCGUCGAGCGGCGGACGGGUGAGUAAUACUUAGGAAUCUACCUAGUAGUGGGGGAUAGCACGGGGAAACUCGUAUUAAUACCGCAUACGACCUACGGGAGAAAGGGGGCAGUUUACUGCUCUCGCUAUUAGAUAAGCCUAAGUCGGAUUAGCUAGAUGGUGGGGUAAAGGCCUACCAUGGCGACGAUCUGUAGCUGGUCUGAGAGGAUGAUCAGCCACACCGGGACUGAGACACGGCCCGGACUCCUACGGGAGGCAGCAGUGGGGAAUAUUGGACAAUGGGGGAAACCCUGAUCCAGCCAUGCCGCGUGUGUGAAGAAGGCCUUUUGGUUGUAAAGCACUUUAAGCAGUGAAGAAGACUCUUCGGUUAAUACCCGGAGACGAUGACAUUAGCUGCAGAAUAAGCACCGGCUAACUCUGUGCCAGCAGCCGCGGUAA
RNAcentral lists this ribosomal RNA (469 nucleotides) under uncultured Psychrobacter sp. RNAcentral describes it as "bacterial SSU rRNA". It matches the Rfam family "Bacterial small subunit ribosomal RNA", at positions 60 to 523 of the family's 1533-position model. Lineage: Bacteria; Pseudomonadati; Pseudomonadota; Gammaproteobacteria; Moraxellales; Moraxellaceae. The record is from RNAcentral.